RNAcentral lists this long non-coding RNA (394 nucleotides) under Hordeum vulgare. Its description in RNAcentral is "long non-coding RNA (HVUL_LNC017098)". The record is from RNAcentral. Lineage: Eukaryota; Viridiplantae; Streptophyta; Magnoliopsida; Poales; Poaceae.
AACGGAGUGGAUGUGACGGGAUAGGGCAGCUAAGGACAGACAUCUUCGCCAAGACACGAGGAUUCUGGGAUCGCUACAACCUCGGUGCGGCGAAUGACCGCAAACUGUUCGAUAUGCUGGCGAGAUUAAGGAACGACACGGCGUAAGGCUGCCCUUUUCCCACGCCUCUACUGCAUCAACUGACUUGUGCCUAGCUAACAAGUAGUCUAAUGUUUGCUAGUAUGAUAUGAUGGCAGGACAAGCUAUGUUUCUUCCCGGGUUCGUCUUCUGAGCAACACGUAUAAGAAGGUGGCCGUAACUGGAUUGGCUAUGUUGGCACUCGCGAUCGGGGGAUCACCUAAUGUGAAGGAGAUGAUCGUCAAUAACGCUGCAACAAAAGUCGAAGAGAUUCAAG